Non-coding RNA from Pseudoalteromonas citrea, 478 nucleotides. The record is from Rfam. Lineage: Bacteria; Pseudomonadati; Pseudomonadota; Gammaproteobacteria; Alteromonadales; Pseudoalteromonadaceae.
AAGUUCCGACCCGCACGAAUGGCAUAACGGUCUGAGCACUGUCUCAACCAUGGACUCGGUGAAAUUGCAAUGUCGGUAAAAAUGCCGACUACUCGCAGCAAGACGGAAAGACCCUAUGGAGCUUUACUAUAGCUUGGUAUUGGGUUAUGAUUUAAGAUGUGCAGGAUAGGUGGGAGACGGUGAAUUAGCAACGCUAGUUGUUAUGGAGUCAUCCUUGAGAUACCACCCUUCUUAAAUUGUAACUCUAACUCCUAAAUUGGAGGACAGUGCUUGGUGGGUAGUUUAACUGGGGCGGUCGCCUCCUAAAGAGUAACGGAGGCGCGCAAUGGUCAACUAUCUUCGGAUGGAAAUCGAAGAGAUAGUGUAUUCGCAUAAGUUGGCCUGACUGAGAGACUUACAAGUCGACCAGACACGAAAGUGGGCGAAAGUGAUCCGGCAUUAACACGUGGAAGUGAUGUCGCUCAACGGAUAAAAGUUA